Molecule: ribosomal RNA, 617 nt
Filed under: uncultured Russula
Lineage: Eukaryota; Fungi; Basidiomycota; Agaricomycetes; Russulales; Russulaceae
Description: eukaryotic LSU rRNA
Rfam family: 5.8S ribosomal RNA (bases 273-426)
Source: RNAcentral
CUUGGUCAUUUAGAGGAAGUAAAAGUCGUAACAAGGUUUCCGUAGGUGAACCUGCGGAAGGAUCAUUAUCGUACAAUGGGGGUACCCGGGUUGUCGCUGACUUUUUUUUUGUCGUGCACGCCCGAGUGCUCUCACAUACAAAUAUAUCCAUCUCACCCCUUUGUGCAUCACCGCGUGGGUGUCCCCCCUUCUUCGGAGGGGGGUGCUCACGUUUUUAACGUCAAACACCCUAGUGUAGAAUGUUCUUUGCGCGAUCACGCGCGAAUCAAUACAACUUUCAACAACGGAUCUCUUGGCUCUCGCAUCGAUGAAGAACGCAGCGAAAUGCGAUACGUAAUGUGAAUUGCAGAAUUCAGUGAAUCAUCGAAUCUUUGAACGCACCUUGCGCCCCUUGGCAUUCCGAGGGGCACACCCGUUUGAGUGUCGUGAACAUCCUCAACCUGCUUCGUUCUAUCGAACCAAGUAGGCUUGGAAUUUGGAGGUUUUUCUGCUGGCUUCCUCUGUGAAGCCAGCUCCUCUUAAAUCUAUCAGUGGGAUCCGCUUUGCUAGAUCCUCGACGUUGAUAAGAUGUUUCUACGUCUUGGGUUUCGCUCGGGAAAGGACCUGCUUCUAACCGU